AUGGUCCCUUUCCAGUUCACCCCCGACGCCCCUCUCCUCCCGUCCAGGGAGGGUCCCCCAGAUGGGGUGGGCGGUCCGGGUCGACCAGAGGCUCUUUGGCCUGUAGAGGGGCCGCUUUUCCCGGCCUCCUCCUCGCCCCAAGAAGCCAACUCCAUCCUGGGGCUGUGGGCCCGGCCGGUCCCCAGGGUGGGGGGCUCAAGUAGCCAGCCCCACUCCCACCCGGUUGUCCCGGGGUGGGAUGGGGGACACGCCUGCCCCGGGGGGGUCGGACCCACGCAGGACGCGGGGGUCGCCGUGUCCCCUCCCACCGGCCACCCCGCGUUAAGGGAAACUGGCGCUGUAGCCGUGGCCUCGCCCAUCCCCGCCGUGACCUUGUCAAUCACCCCGUGGCCCCGCCCCCUCCGCCGCCAGAUCCCGGCCCCGCCCCCUAGCGGCCAGUCGGGUAAUUGGCUGUCGGUCGCCCCGCCCCUCCCGCUCCUGGCCACGCCCCUUUUGGCCACGCCCCCAGGGCCCGGCCGGCGCAGGGAAGCGGGACGCCGCCUUGCGGCCGCACGGUGCACUGCCUGUAUUGGCGCCCUCCGCCGAUCCUCGAACCUCGAACCUCGGCCCCCCCGCUCCCCCCCCCCCCCCGGGCCGCGGGCUCACGGCAGGUCGCUCUCGAUGUACGGGAUGUCCCCGUACUUGCCGUCGGCCGCGGCCCACUGCUUGACGGCCUCGUCCAGGAUCUCCUGCGAUAGGCGGUGUGCGAAGUGCAGCAGGACGACGCUGGAGGCCGAGCCGGAGGCGGCGGGGGCGGCGGCGGCGGCGGAGGCGGCGGAGGCGGAGGCGGUCCGGGCGGCCGGGAGGAAGGACGUGUCGGACGGGCUGUCCCGCACCAGGCCGUCCCGCACCAGGCCGUCCCGCACCAGGCUCUCGUCGCUGUCUCUCCGCUCGCCGGGCAGCGAGUCUGGGAGCGGGAACGGGUGCUUCGACUUGAUGCAGCCCAUGGCCCUGGGGGAGGACGAGCGGCACCUUAGUUCAACCCUCCACGGCUCACCCUGCACUGCGCCGACCGUCCCAACACCCCCCUGA
This 1071-nucleotide long non-coding RNA is filed under the name Ornithorhynchus anatinus (platypus). RNAcentral's name for it is "lncRNA (ENSOANG00000047735.1)". The record is from RNAcentral. Lineage: Eukaryota; Metazoa; Chordata; Mammalia; Monotremata; Ornithorhynchidae.